AUUGAACGCUGGCGGCAGGCUUAACACAUGCAAGUCGAACGAGCGGCAGACGGGAGAGUAAUGUCUGGGAAACUGCCUGAUGGAGGGGGAUAACUACUGGAAACGGUAGCUAUUACCGCAUACCAUCAGAUGUGCCCAGAUGGGAUUAGCUAGUAGGUGGGGUAAUGGCUCACCGCGGCGACGAUCCCGAGCUGGUCUGAGAGGAUGACCAGCGACACUGGAACUGAGAGACGGUCCAGACGCCGACGGGAGGCACGAGUGGGGAAUGUUGCACAAUGGGCGCAAGCCUGAUGCAGCCAUGCCGCGUGUGUGAAGAAGGCCUUCGGGUUGUAAAGCACGUUCAGCGAGGAGGCGGUACUCGCAGAAGAAGCACCGGCUAACUCCGUGCCAGCAGCCGCGGUAAUAC
RNAcentral lists this ribosomal RNA (406 nucleotides) under uncultured bacterium. RNAcentral's name for it is "partial 16S ribosomal RNA". It matches the Rfam family "Bacterial small subunit ribosomal RNA", at positions 29 to 526 of the family's 1533-position model. The record is from RNAcentral.